AGAGAUCGGGCGUUCCCCUUCGGGGGGACAGGGUGACAGGUGGUGCAUGGUUGUCGUCAGCUCGUGUCGUGAGAUGUUGGGUUAAGUCCCGCAACGAGCGCAACCCUCGACCUUAGUUGCCAGCAUUCAGUUGGGCACUCUAAGGUGACUGCCGGCUAAAAGUCGGAGGAAGGUGGGGAUGACGUCAAAUCAUCAUGCCCCUUAUGACCUGGGCUACACACGUGCUACAAUGGGCGGUACAAAGGGUCGCGAACCCGCGAGGGGGAGCCAAUCCCAAAAAGCCGCUCUCAGUUCGGAUUGCAGGCUGCAACUCGCCUGCAUGAAGCCGGAAUCGCUAGUAAUCGCGGAUCAGCAUGCCGCGGUGAAUACGUUCCCGGGCCUU
RNAcentral lists this ribosomal RNA (382 nucleotides) under uncultured Anoxybacillus sp. RNAcentral describes it as "bacterial SSU rRNA". It matches the Rfam family "Bacterial small subunit ribosomal RNA", at positions 1002 to 1382 of the family's 1533-position model. Lineage: Bacteria; Bacillati; Bacillota; Bacilli; Caryophanales; Anoxybacillaceae. The record is from RNAcentral.